AUACGGAGGGUCCAAGCGUUAUCCGGAAUCAUUGGGUUUAAAGGGUCCGCAGGCGGUCAAUUAAGUCAGAGGUGAAAGCCCAUCGCUCAACGAUGGAACUGCCUUUGAUACUGGUUGACUUGAGUUAUACGGAAGUAGAUAGAAUAAGUAGUGUAGCGGUGAAAUGCAUAGAUAUUACUUAGAAUACCGAUUGCGAAGGCAGUCUACUACGUAUAUACCGACGCUGAGGGACGAAAGCGUGGGGAGCGAACAGGAUUAGAUACCCUAGUAGUCC
Molecule: ribosomal RNA, 274 nt
Filed under: uncultured bacterium
Lineage: Bacteria
Description: partial 16S ribosomal RNA
Rfam family: Bacterial small subunit ribosomal RNA
Source: RNAcentral